This 391-nucleotide ribosomal RNA is filed under the name uncultured bacterium. RNAcentral's name for it is "bacterial SSU rRNA". It matches the Rfam family "Bacterial small subunit ribosomal RNA", at positions 28 to 420 of the family's 1533-position model. The record is from RNAcentral.
AUUGAACGCUGGCGGCGUGCUUAACACAUGCAAGUCGAGCGGUAAGGCCCUUUCGGGGGUACACGAGCGGCGAACGGGUGAGUAACACGUGGGUGACCUGCCCUCAGCUCUGGGAUAAGCCUGGGAAACCGGGUCUAAUACCGGAUAUGACUCCAUGACGCAUGUUGUGGGGUGGAAAGCCUUGUGCGGCUGAGGAUGGGCCCGCGGCCUAUCAGCUUGUUGGUGGGGUGANGGCCUACCAAGGCGACGACGGGUAGCCGGCCUGAGAGGGCGACCGGCCACACUGGGACUGAGACACGGCCCAGACUCCUACGGGAGGCAGCAGUGGGGAAUCUUGCGCAAUGGGCGAAAGCCUGACGCAGCGACGCCGCGUGAGGGAUGACGGCCUCGG